UUAUUGAUAUUGCUAAUAGAU
RNAcentral lists this microRNA (21 nucleotides) under Ananas comosus (pineapple). RNAcentral's name for it is "microRNA 2677a". Lineage: Eukaryota; Viridiplantae; Streptophyta; Magnoliopsida; Poales; Bromeliaceae. The record is from RNAcentral.